This is a long non-coding RNA of Orcinus orca (killer whale), 775 nucleotides long. RefSeq lists it as uncharacterized. Lineage: Eukaryota; Metazoa; Chordata; Mammalia; Artiodactyla; Delphinidae. The transcript has 2 exons. The record is from RefSeq and is a predicted model, not a curated record.
CAUUGGCUAGGCCGCAACCGUGGCCCCGCCCCCAAGGAACAGGAGCCUGGGGCCCAAGGGAAUGGGCCAGCCUCGGGGGAGGAGCCUUAAAGAGCCCGCAGCCCUGGUGGUGCCCGCGCCCUGUGUGCGCAAAGCGAGACUUGGAGGCACAAGCUCUCAGGCAGAUACCCUACAAUGAUGAGCAAAAUCAGACAUGGACCUUGCCUUCAUGAUGUUUAAGGUUUACUGGGGAAAAGUGAGAGAAGGCUCCUGUGAUCCUCCAGGCGAGAGAUGAAAGUGGCUUAGGGGGUGUGGUUGGGGUGGCUGUGGUGGCAGAGAUGGAGAGAAGUGGAAGAAGUCACAAAGAGUCACUGGCUUUGAUAACAAGCAAAGCAAGGCCAAGGGAAUAUUCUUUCCAUGUGGGUGCAUUUAAAUUUUGUAAGUUAAUGUUUUAUUUUAUGAAAAUGGUAUAAAUUGUCAAGUAGUGUUCAAAGGUUUAUAACAACAACUCUCCCCAAUUUACAACCCCCUUUUAACUUUUUUUUUUUUGGCCGCACCUACAGUGGAAGCUCGUAGUCUUAACCACUGGACCGCCAGGGAAGUCCCCCAUAUUUAUAAAUUAAUUGAACAAUUUUAGACUUUUUUUUGGUGCUCUUGAGAGGAAGAUGUUAUAAACUUAAAAACCAACAUAAUAUGAAGCAGGUUGAGGAAAUGCUUAGUCAGUCUGAAGAGGUGUUUAAUUUUUAUUGUAUCACCCAACCCUUCUGAGAAUCUGUUGAAGCUUUUCCCAAAUAAA